AUUGAACGCUGGCGGCAGGCUCAACACAUGCAAGUCGAGCGGGGUGAUGGUGCUUGCACUAUCACUUAGCGGCGGACGGGUGAGUAAUGCUUAGGAAUCUGCCUAUUAGUGGGGGACAACAUCUCGAAAGGGAUGCUAAUACCGCGUACGUCCUACGGGAGAAAGCAGGGGAUCACUUGUGACCUUGCGCUAAUAAAUGAGCCUAAGUCGGAUUAGCUAGUUGGUGGGGUAAAGGCCUACCAAGGCGACGAUCUGUAGCGGGUCUGAGAGGAUGAUCCGCCACACUGGGACUGGGACACGGCCCAGACUCCUACGGGAGGCAGCAGUGGGGAAUAUUGGACAAUGGGGGGGACCCUGAUCCAGCCAUGCCGCGUGUGUGAAGAAGGCCUUAUGGUUGUAAAGCACUUUAAGCGAGGAGGAGGCUCUUUUGGUUAAUACCCAAGAUGAGUGGACGUUACUCGCAGAAUAAGCACCGGCUAACUCUGUGCCAGCCGCCGCAGUAA
RNAcentral lists this ribosomal RNA (503 nucleotides) under uncultured bacterium. RNAcentral's name for it is "partial 16S ribosomal RNA". It matches the Rfam family "Bacterial small subunit ribosomal RNA", at positions 30 to 523 of the family's 1533-position model. The record is from RNAcentral.